GACGAACGCUGGCGGCGUGCCUAACACAUGCAAGUCGAACGAACAGAUAAGGAUCUUGCUCCUUUGACGUUAGCGGCGCACGGGUGAGUAACACGUGGAUAACCCACCUAUAUGAGUGGGAUAACUUCGGGAAACCGGAGCUAAUACCGGAUAAUCUUUCGAACCGCGGGGUUGGAUAGAGAAAGAUGGUUGUGCUAUCAUGUAUAGAUGGACCCGCGCCGUAUUGGGGGGUUGGUAAGGUAACGGCAUACCAAGGCGACGAUAGGUGGCCGACCUGAGAGAGUGAUGGCCCCCCUUGGAAGGUGACCAGGGUCAAGCGUCCUACGGGAGGCACCAGUAGGGAACGUUCGGCAGUGGGGGAAAGCCUGACGGAGCACGCCGGCGUGGGUGGUACAGGUCUUGGGAUCGUAAUACCGUGUUAUUGGGGCAAAACAUAUGUGUAAGUAAAUGUACACGUCUUGACGGUACCUGAUCAGAAAGCCACGGCUAACUACGUG
RNAcentral lists this ribosomal RNA (497 nucleotides) under uncultured bacterium. RNAcentral describes it as "partial 16S ribosomal RNA". It matches the Rfam family "Bacterial small subunit ribosomal RNA", at positions 28 to 507 of the family's 1533-position model. The record is from RNAcentral.